CAUCAAGAGCCGUUAUGCAAUUAAUGAGUGAUUGUCUGAAAGGCUUCGAGUCUCCACUGCCAAUCAGCAAGGCCUGGAGAAGGAUAAGCAGCGGCUCCUGGAUCUUCUCGGCAGAUCUGAACUGAAGCGAGGCGGCUGCUGAAUGAGGGGCGCCAGGGUGCUGCCAGUGAAAUGAGAAGACGAAAGUCCCAGAUAAGAACCUUUCCAGUGACCCCCCCAAGCCACGUAGAGAGCCAGCGAGGUGUGUCUUCGACCCCGGCGUAUCUGCCAGACGGUGUGUGGGGGCAUCUCACUGCUCCUUUGGAGGUGUCCUUCGCCCAGUGAGACCAACCUCCCAUUAGAAGAAAGGCUCUCGGCUCCGUCCUUGCCUGCCCUGCUUGGCUCUCAGCCCCAUCCCCGGCCUGCCCCAUCCCCGGCCUGCCCCAUCCCCGGCCUGCCCCAUCGGGCUGUACGCACCAUCCCUGGCCUGUCCCCUUAACAUGCUUUAUUCUGAGAACCUCAGCAGCCUAUUGGCCGGUCUGAUCGUGCUACAGUGGGGUUUUAAAAUGAACUAACGCCUGCAUGGUGAUAACUCGUCGUCUAGAUGCCGGCCGUGGCCGAAGAGGCUCAGCGUUAACCUGACCUCACACCCGGGCGUUAAAUGGAUGUGAGCAACGUGAGGAUGCCGGGGGCCGUGGGACAGCAUGUGGUCCUGCCCGCAGUUGCCAUUGCGGUGACCCUGGGCACCAGCUGCUCGUCACAGUGAAGAUGUGCGGGGGAGGGCAAAUUACCCAGGGCAAGGUGCCUGUUGGGCUGUAAUCAUCUCCAAGCAUCGCUGGAAAUUACGGGGCCCCGGAGAGCUGAAAACGAGGCCGUGUCACAGCCCACGAUUUCUGGGCAUACUCUCAGGCCCCCUGUACCAGCAAAUGUUCAGGAUGCAGCGCUGACUGGUUUAGCCACUGGUCAGCACACACACACCUGGACAGGCGCGCCGGGAACACGCAUGCUCUGGGCCGUCUGCAGAGGUGAGGCGAGGAUGAGCUUCCCCCUAAGUGGCAUGGUUAAUCUCCAAAAGUAACUUCAACAGUAUCUUCAGAAGGCAUCUGAGAGAUGAGGACUGUGAGUAGCUGCUGUCCCCAAACAGAAGGAGAGAUGCAGCCUUAAUCCGCUCCCCACCCACAUGUGACGGAUAUUCUAGCCAAAGGAACAACUAGAAAUGAACCUGGAGUGUUUUGGAGGAAAUUUGUCUAAGUUGUGUUUAGGCUCAGUCAGCAACGGAAACAAUAAGCCGUCAGAGUGGACAGACUGCAGCCCUCCUGUAACAGAUCAAACAUGCUGAAACUGUAGGAAAAGCAUCUCAAGCAUGGUUAAACCACUGUCAUGUGACCACACCACAUGACUUGCAUGUUUUCCAGAGUGUGGCGUGACGAUUACGUCGCUGAAUUUCUACCGGAACUGUCUGAAAUAUGAUACGUGCAUGUGUAUAACAUUUAAAAUAGGGGGAAGGUUCAAAUGUGUUAAAACAUGCUGUGUUAGUGUG
This is a long non-coding RNA of Brienomyrus brachyistius, 1519 nucleotides long. RefSeq lists it as uncharacterized. NCBI's taxonomy places the organism in Eukaryota, Metazoa, Chordata, Actinopteri, Osteoglossiformes, Mormyridae. The record is from RefSeq and is a predicted model, not a curated record. The transcript is spliced from 3 exons.